This 103-nucleotide microRNA precursor is filed under the name Marmota monax (woodchuck). The record is from RNAcentral. Lineage: Eukaryota; Metazoa; Chordata; Mammalia; Rodentia; Sciuridae.
AGUGGGAUAGCUAGGUCAAAUGGUGGUUCAAUUCUCAGUUUUCUAAGGAAUCUCCAUAUUGCUUUCCAUAGUGGUUGUACCAAUUUGCAGUCCCACCAGCAAU